Molecule: long non-coding RNA, 645 nt
Filed under: Anser brachyrhynchus (Pink-footed goose)
Lineage: Eukaryota; Metazoa; Chordata; Aves; Anseriformes; Anatidae
Description: lncRNA (ENSABRG00000011012.1)
Source: RNAcentral
ACUUCUUGCAGUGGCCCCUGAGAGAAGUUAUGUGUGAAUAUCAACUUUAUCACAAAGAACUUGCAGGAGAGCAGCAAUUUUUUCCAAAACAAAAUUGGAUUAGUUUGACGUAUGGAAGAUGGCUAUUUUUGAUGCUGUGAGGAUUCAGUGAGGAAACAUAUUUUUCAAGAGAAUGUGCACAGCAACUUUCAACAACCACAGACAGUUGGCUUUAGGAGGUCAUUUCAUGGCUGGGAGAUAUGGAAGUGGUUUGAGGAUGUGAUUUUUAUGGAUGGAAAACUAUGCCUUUGGUUCUAAGGAAACUCAUUUUUAUUGGAGAAAUGAGACAGAACAGUACAUGAGUACAACUGAAGGUUGUUAUAGUUAUUUUUCCCCACACUUCCACCUGACCCCCAACCCUCUGAAGGACAAUAAGAAGUGCUUCUUGGUGAAGUUACAGUGAAAGCUGCUAUAAUGUUGUGUGGUUUCCACCGGCAACCUUCAGUCUCAAAGAUGGAAAUUUAUUCAUUCUGUACAUCUAUGCGCAGCUCCAGAGAUUUUAAGAGUAUCUUAGUCUAAGGAGAGCUGGUGAGAGAGAACUUUUUCUGCAGUGCGUAAGGCCAGAAGAGAGCAUGUAGCCUGACCUUCUGUAAAUGUCAAACCUUA